Molecule: long non-coding RNA, 916 nt
Organism: Olea europaea var. sylvestris
Lineage: Eukaryota; Viridiplantae; Streptophyta; Magnoliopsida; Lamiales; Oleaceae
Exons: 3
Source: RefSeq, a predicted model, not a curated record
AGCAUCACUCCUUCAGACGUGGGAGAUAUAAUAUUAGAUGGGAGUCGGCACCCUUGUGUUGAAGCUCAGGAUUGGGUGAAUUUUAUCCCGAAUGACUGUAAACUAGUUAGGGAAAAAAGCUGGUUCCAAAUCAUUACAGGGCCUAAUAUGGGUGGAAAAUCCACCUACAUACGGCAGGUAUGCUGCUUCAAUUUAGUUGAAUAUUCAAUUUUUCCUAUCAAAUUUACAAACCCAGAACAGCAGUUUUGAUGUUCGUAAGUAGAAUAAUCCUUUUGCAGUGUAGAUGAGAAUUAUCAAGGAUUGGGCAGAGUGUGGUUGCAGAUUAAGUUUUAGGGUUUAAUUUCAUUUAGAUUGAUUAUAUCAGAGUUUCAUAUAUCCUAUCCUUUCCUCUUUUUAUCUUAGCCUUCUUUCUCCUUUUCAUCGUUUUAGCUUAUCUGUCUUAUAAAUUUUUUCUAUUAGUCUCUCAUUCUCUAACGAUAUUGUGUCAGUCCUAUUUGUCGAAAGUAUCAUAUGCAUUGAUUAUGAACUUGACAUGAGUGAAGCCAGGAUUUUGCUAUCAUGGAAUACCAAGUACAGGGUUUAUUUCUCAUCCUAGAUGUUUAAGCUAUGAUUUUAAGAUGGUUGGAUUUGUUUAACAUGUAUUUAGAAAGUCCAUGUUUAUGAAUUUUAUACAGAACAGAUUUGAUUUUUAUUUAGUCCUUUCAAUACAAGGUUGAGCUGCAUUUGGUUUCAAUUCAAUUGAGAGACUAAGCAUCUUUUAAUUGUUAUCUUCCCCAUCUUCAUUUUCCUUGUAGGAAAUCAAAUAUCCAUUGCUUUUAGGUUAAAUCUGAACCAGCAACGUUUUCAGACUUCAUUUGUAUAUUAAGACAGUUUUUGCUUAGGAGAAAAUAAGCAUCACUGAGUAACAUGUUUUUAC